AACGAACGCUGGCGGCAGGCCUAACACAUGCAAGUCGAACGCUCCAGCAAUGGAGAGUGGCAGACGGGUGAGUAACGCGUGGGAACCUUCCCAGUGGUACGGAAUAGCCCAGGGAAACUUGGGGUAAUACCGUAUAAGCCCUUCGGGGGAAAGAUUUAUCGCCAUUGGAUGGGCCCGCGUCGGAUUAGCUUGUUGGUGAGGUAAAAGCUCACCAAGGCGACGAUCCGUAGCUGGUCUGAGAGGAUGAUCAGCCACACUGGGACUGAGACACGGCCCAGACUCCUACGGGAGGCAGCAGUGGGGAAUAUUGGACAAUGGGCGCAAGCCUGAUCCAGCCAUGCCGCGUGAGUGACGAAGGCCUUAGGGUUGUAAAGCUCUUUUGGCGGGGACGAUAAUGACGGUACCCGCAGAAUAAGCUCCGGCUAACUUCGUG
This 433-nucleotide ribosomal RNA is filed under the name uncultured bacterium. RNAcentral's name for it is "bacterial SSU rRNA". It matches the Rfam family "Bacterial small subunit ribosomal RNA", at positions 29 to 507 of the family's 1533-position model. The record is from RNAcentral.